ACAACACACUGUGUUUUCUGAAGUUCUCAUGAAGCCAUGGCAGCAUUUGCCAUCCACCCCUGGGCAGUGGUUUUGUUGGGGCAAGAUUUCCCAUCUCCAGAAGAAGGAACUAAAGCUUCACAUCAGAGAGAAGAAAAACGUUCCUUCAAGUCUCAAACCACUGCAGAAGAAUAACUGAGACACUGAAUGAAUCAGAAGAGACAGAAACAAACCCAUCCUAGGUAGAAAUUUAUCACUGACAGAGCCAGGAGCUCCAGAAACAUGUGAAGAAGGCAGUGAGAGAGGUUGCAUGAAGAGAAAAGAAACCCAAACCCAGAACUUACCAGACA
Pipra filicauda (Wire-tailed manakin) is the source of this 329-nucleotide long non-coding RNA. RefSeq lists it as uncharacterized. The record is from RefSeq and is a predicted model, not a curated record. The transcript has 3 exons. NCBI's taxonomy places the organism in Eukaryota, Metazoa, Chordata, Aves, Passeriformes, Pipridae.